ACGGGGUGCAGCAGGCGCGAAAACUUUACAAUGCGAGCAAUCGUGAUAAGGAAACCCUGAGUGCCUGUCAAUGCAGGCUGUUCUGGUGUCUAACACCCACCAGGAGAAAGGGCGGGGCAAGACCGGUGCCAGCCGCCGCGGUAAUACCGGCUGCUCGAGUGAUAGCCGCUUUUACUGGGCUUAAAGCGUUCGUAGCUUGUCCUUAAGUCUCUGGGGAAAUCUUCUGGCUCAACCAGAAGGGGUCUCAGGGAAACUGGCGAUCUAGGAACCGGGAGAGGUGAAACCUACUUCGGGGGUAGGAAUGAAAUCUUGUAAUCCCCCAGGGACCACCGAUGGCGAAAGCAUCUCACCAGAACGGCUUCCACAGUGAGGGACCAAAGCUGGGGGAACAAACCGGAUUAAAUACCCGGGUAGUCCCAGCCGUAAACCAUGUGCGUUAGGUGUGUCGGUGACCACCAAUCGCCCAAGUGCCCAAAGGAAACCGUGAAACCCACCGCCUGGGAAGUACCGUCGCAAGGCUG
RNAcentral lists this ribosomal RNA (521 nucleotides) under uncultured archaeon. RNAcentral describes it as "bacterial SSU rRNA". It matches the Rfam family "Archaeal small subunit ribosomal RNA", at positions 325 to 851 of the family's 1478-position model. The record is from RNAcentral.